UUUGCGAGAAACAACCUUUAAAAAAAUAUAUGGCAAAAAAGACCUUGACAAGAAAAUAUUUUGCAAAGAAUAACCUUGAACCGCUUUCCGGCAUUGACCAAGAAUUUUCAGCUUUUCGUUCAAACCAAACAUGUGGAGUGCACGUGAACUACAUCUCUUAUAUUUCAACCUUGUUUUUCUACAUUUUUCGACAUUGGCCAAAUAUUUUCUGACGUUGACUUCAUCAGUAUAUAAUGGGAAAUUGGGUUGAAACAUAAGAUAUAUGGAUUACGUGCCUUGCCAUAUUUAGUUUCAAUGAGUCGAAGCCGCAAAAUACUUAGUUAAUGCCUGAAAAAAGGGUCAAGGUUGUUUCUUCAAAUUUUUUUAAGGACUUAUUUUCCCAUAUUUUUUUAAAACGGUUGUUUCUCGCAAAAACUUGAAUUUAAAAAGUUACUUUUCACAAAUUUUCUUUUUAAAACAUAUAAAUAGGAAGCUUAACAAACACAUAUGAAAGGCCUGAAAAUAAAUAAAUAUAAAAGUACAGAAAAGAAAUACUCCUACCAUACAAUUAUAGAAGAUUAAAAUCAGGGGAAACCAGCAAUGUCUUAUUCCACUAAAAUUCGUGAUAAAAGUGUCGGCAACGAAACAAUAUUACAAACUAAUGUUGUCGCUAGCUAUUUCCUCUCCAAUCAAUUGAAACAAUACAUAAAUCGCAAGAAAGAAAGAAAAAACUUAUACCAAAAAAAAGAGUUAAAGCUAAACCAGAAGAUAUAAUAAUACAUAUUAUUAUCAAGAUUAUUGAGUCCAAAAAACAAAACAAAUGAACCAAAAAAAUUUAUGACAACGGAGAACAAGAGCAAUGCCUGGCUUUCCCAUGUACGCCGCCGCGAAUCUCGAACGAUCAAGUUUUCGUAAAAAGAUAAGCUAUAAUCUUGCGUACCAUUCGAAGCUAUGAAGCAUGAAAACCUCUAAGACCUCAGGUAUGAAGCCUUACAAUAACAAAAUCUUAAGGCUUAACUCGUUCGAGAAACCUUUUUGUUUCCGAAACAUUAACCAUUUCCAUGCAUAUCAAAUGAAGAUCUUCAGCAUUUCUAGUUUCUCUUCUUUUUUCCUCUUCUUCCGACUCUUCAUAAUACAUUUAUGUUAUACUCUCUAUUUUUGUAGUCCCUUCACAAAGGAAAUAAUAAGUACUCCUAUAAUGGUAGAUUUUAUUGCAAGUACUUGAAGAUAAUAAUAAUGGGUGAAGAGGUGAUAAAAUUUUGAAAAGUUUAAUUAAUCUAAGAAAUGGGAAGAUGAAAAGUUGUUCCCGAGAAGAUGAUGACGAGGUUUUCCCGUUAAUGUUGUAUUGUUGUUUCCUAAGCAUGGGAAGAGGAGGAGGACGACUUUUUGUUUCACACGUUCAUUGCUCUCUCUCUUAUUACUUAGCUUUCUCUCUCUAAAGCUUACGCAAGAGUCAAUGAUUUUAAAGGAGGGACUUAAAUGACCUCAUAUGAAUCUUGUAUUUUUUAUACACUAAUUAAAUUCUAGAUUUAAUUGGUUUUCACGUACUAUGAUGAAAACUAGCCUUGUUUUGAGGGAGCAACGUAGUUCCAAAAGUUUUUAUGAAUUCUUAAUGAUUCAUUUCAACGUGUGGACCCUUGUACCAGAUUCAUACAAUACUUUCCUACACCAAGACUUUUUAUUUGUAUUUUAAACAAUGCUCUACUUCAUUUGAAAAUUGAAAUACUUACAUUUUUGUGGUCAAAUCUAGAUCAUAUUAUUCUAUAAAUAUAGUUUCUCAUCUAUUUUUUUACUCCCUCCGUCCCAUAAUAUAGUGCUUGUUUCUUUUUUACACGGUCUUCAAUAUGCAACUUUGACCUUUAAUAUCUUCAAUUCCGUAUUAAUAGAAAAUAUAAAAAGUUGAUAUUAUGAAACUACACAUUGAGACGAAUGUAACAAGAUCCCACAUGAAUAUGUUUUUCUAUAUAUACAAAUGAGAAUAUUCGGUCAAAGAUUUUAAAGUUUGACCCACAAAAAAUGAAAUAGGCACUAUAUUAUGGGACGGGGGGAGUAUAUUACAAUACUUAAUUUGAUGUUUGUGUUCUUUUGCACACAAAUCUGACUAAUAGUAAUCUAUCGAGAGUGAUAAAAGCUAACAUCUUUUUAUUAUGGGUCUAUCUCAAUUUAUUAGACCUUUAUUAAUCCUUAUUAGAUGUUAUUCGAACUUAUUUUGUAAGUGUAUCACACCUUAUUUUUGCUGAACUAGACUUAUUAGACCUUAUAUGCUUAUCUACCUUAUCUUUUCUAAUAAGAACUGAAAAUAUAGUAAAUGAAACAUACCCUACAUGCUAACAUUCAGUAUAUGAAUAUUAAGUAAAGGUUAGUUUAUAAAUGGAUUUUUUUUUUACUUAAACUACUUUAUAGAGUCGAGUUUUUUUCAAAUUGAAACCUUCUAAAACCUUUCAUUCUUAAAAAUUAACACCUAAAAAUUUCUUUUAGAUUGCCACCAAUUGGCAGAUACCUUGAGCCCACUGGGCCUUUAUUGGUUAUAUAAUGCUCUGAAUUUCCAAGCCCAAACCAAACGAGUGUUCGGCACGCGUUUGGACAGGGUGUCCCCCCCCCCACCUAACUUGUGUACAUAUUAGCUUUCAAUGCACGCGAUGCGUGCGAUGAUAUUUUCCCCAAAUCAAACCACUACUCCCCCAAUUGUGAUACCCAUAUUUCUAAAUUUCACGCAAUAUUUUUCUCUCUAUUAAAUUGAACAUCAUCUUCAUCAAUUUUCCUCAAUUCAAACCACACUUGUUUUUUUCUCUAUCUAUACAAUUGAGACUGUCGAUUAUUAGCAAGUUGCAAAGUUGGCUUUGGCAGUCAUGGAAUUGGCUUUCACUCAGCCCGUCAUGGACCACCGAGCUUGCUUGCGAUCAUGGCCCAAGCUCUGCAGUUUAUGUUGAAAUUCGAUUAUGGGCACAAUUUUUUUGAUUUUAAUAUAUGGGUUAAGUAUUUCUUUUUUCCCCGAAUCCGAUUUCUCAUAUUAUGUCUUAAUUUUUUUUUUAUUAUUUGGGCAUGAAUAUUAAAGUUAUAGUAACAAAAUUUGAUUUUUAUAUUUUAAUAUAUGGGUUUAAGUUUUUUUUUUCCUCAAAUUCUUUAUAAUAUAUGGGCACAAAAACAACUCGAGUUCUCAUAUUUUGUCUCAAUUUUUUUCAUAUCUAGGGCACGAAUAUUAAAGUCAUUUUCGAUGAAAUUUCAUUUUUUUCAAUCAUUUAUGAUGUACUUUUAAUUUUAAUUUUAAUUUCAAUUAUCUUCGAAUUAAAUUUUAAAUAAAAUAUAAUCUAAGUGAAAUUAUUUUCUGGAAAAAAAAUAAUACAACAGAUAUUCGUAAGAGUUACUGUAAUUUGAGUUUAAUUUGACUCGAACAUACUACAUAUUUUUAAGAUUUACUGAAUAUAGAACAGCACACAUAAUUUUAUUUUCAAGAACGAACUGUAUACCUAAAGAAUCGAAAAUUUUCAGAGUUUCGUAUUUGAGAAUGUCGUGAAGGUCCAAUCUAUGAAGAGAACUGAUUUGUUUUUUGUUUGAUGCUUGUGUUUUGGAAAUAUUAAUUUGAGAGGAUGUUAUGCCAUGUAAUUUUUUUUUUUUUUGUUAUUGUAUGUAGUAUUAACAUUUGGUAAGUCCUUGAUUAUUAAUUUUUUUUAUUGGAUCUUUUUUAUUGGCAAGUUUAUGUGGUUGAAUCUUAUAUGAGUUGAUUGGGUUUAAAUUUUAUUUGAUUGAUAUUUUUGUUUUGGCAAGUUUAUGCAUGAAACUGGGGUUGAUGAGGUGGCUCGAGGUAGUGGAAACUUGAAAUAUAAUAUCUAUGUUGGGGGCAUUUAAGUAAAUUCUAAGGGGUACACCAUUGCUCCACCCUUGGCUUAUAUAAUAGAGAUUUAUAUUUUAUAAUGUCUUUUUUGGUUACAAACAUGUACUAUUUUUUAAAAUAAUUAUUUCGAAAUUUAUACCAUACAAUAGAGACUUAAAUUAUUCAUGUAAUUCGAAUAUAAGAGUUAGUUUUUUUUCAACUAAUUUGAAAUAACUUGCAAGAUGAAAAAGAAUUAUGUACCUUUUUUAGAAGUUCGCAUUUCGCCAAUGGACAAAUGUGAAAUCUUUCUAUCGAAAUUGUAUGUUUUUCUUAGUUUGUAAUUUGUAUUGACGUUGUAGUACAUUGGUACAUUUUUUAGUAUGUAAUUGUAAAUUGUUCUUGGGAACGGAGUAUGUAAUUGCUAAUGGGUUAUGGUUGGUAAUUGAAUUUUUUUGUUUUUGUAAAGUUUUUUCAUUUCAGUUAUUUGUAUAACGUGAAUUAUGCAAUUCUAUUAAGGAAAAAUUGUGAAUAACCACCUGCCAGAUACCCCUGUUUCAAAAUAACCACCCCAAUUUCAUUUGCAUUUAAAUAACCAUCUCUACUUAGCUUCACGUUUUUAAAUACCCACCUCUUAACAGAAAAAGGUGACUCCGUUAACAGUGAGGCCUGUUGACACGCUUUUUUAUUAAAUUUCCCGCCAAUUUUCCUCGACUUUGACCUCUAUAUAUUUCUCUAACAUUUACAAACCUAAUCUAAACAAAUUUGGCAAAGAUUUACUUCAAUUCCACUGUGAUUCCUCUUGAAGCUCAAAAUUCAGGAAUUUGCUAUGGCUGAAAGGGAAUCAAUUACUUGCCAUUGUACUCUCCCUGUUGCAAGGAGGACUUCUUGGACUGAGAAGAAUCCCGGACGAAGGUUCAUGUCUUGAAAAUAUGUAAUUGCUAAUGGGUUAUAGUUUGUAAUUGAAUUUUCUUGUUUUUGUAAAGUUUUUUUCAUUUCAGUUAUCUGUAUAGCGUGAAUUAUGCAAUUCUAUUAAUUUCAGUUGACUUGUGAUUGAUUGUUAUAA
Molecule: long non-coding RNA, 4853 nt
Organism: Beta vulgaris subsp. vulgaris (sugar beet)
Lineage: Eukaryota; Viridiplantae; Streptophyta; Magnoliopsida; Caryophyllales; Amaranthaceae
Exons: 2
Source: RefSeq, a predicted model, not a curated record